AGUAUCCUUCUUCCACCAGGAGGAAGAAGAACUGUGUCUCUGAAGUUUGGGAAGUAUACGUAGACAUGGAGUCUGGCCUUGAGCUUUCUGUAGUAGAAAGGCCCAUGUCAGCAGCCCUUAAAGGGACAGGGUGAGGUGUACUCGGGGGAAAGAUGGUAGUAACCAUACUCCUCCCAAUUUUCCGUGAUACACCACAGUGUAAAAGAGGACCCCAGUGGUUUCCACGGCUACACAGAAAAUUCAUGGAGGGUAGCAGAAGAAGAUGAGCCAUGGAGCUGCCAGGUGGCUGCCAGUCCAAUCUUUUAAGGUUCAAUUUAGGGAAAAGGACUUUUUCUCAGUAAGCCCUGAUACCUUGAUGUGAGAAGGCCAAGAAGAAGCCUAUAGAGAUGCCCACAAGAGGAGACUAAAGCUGAGAGAAACUGAGGCCCCUGGCCCUAGAGCUUUCACUGAGCUCCAGCUGACAACCAUCAUCAAAUCACCAGCCAUGUGACUGUGCCAUGAUGGGAGGGAAUCACCCAGUGUCCAAAUGAUCUGAUGCCACAUGUAAAAGAGAAGAGCCUUCCCCUUUGAGCCCUGCCCAGAUUGCUACUCUGCACCAAGUUUGUUCUUUACUCCCAGCCUAAUGGAUGAAAUGAAACUUGGUGAGCUCCCAGAGUUGGACAACCUUCAGAAUGCUGAGACAUACUAAAUGAAGGAAGAAAGUCCUUUUGUGAGUUCUCCAAAACUCAGACCUCCCAGUGACUACAGCAAGGUCCUGUUGUUUCAGUGAAAAGCUGUUCAACUUGGUGAACCAGACAGAGAAGAGACCCUGGGCCGUAAGAGGCUUUAAAAAAUAUUUAUCCAAUGAAUGAGGAGUGAUGGAAGUGAAGAACACUAAACUCAAUUUAGUGGUUACCACUGCAUAAAGGAGAGAAAUAAAACUGCAAGAGGAACACGAGGCACCACCUGUAUCUGCAAUAUUGUGUCACCAUAAGAAAACUCUGAUAUAAAACAUGCCAAAAUACUGAGCUCUGGCAAAAAACAAAAAGCAAACAAAUUCAGCCACAGCUAAAGGCUCUGCAUGAAUUCUGUGGUCUCUAUAGGAAGUAGUAAAAUGAUCUAUGGUACCCCAAAAGCAGUCUUCAGGGGAUUUCACAGAGCAAGUAUCAGAACAUGUUACAACUCAUUUCUAAGGAAGUUCCUCUAAACUUCCUGUCUGUACCAUAAACCAUGGUCUGCUGGUCUCCUCUUCAUUCAUUCAUUCAUUCAUCCAAGAUACUUUCUGGAUGUCCCUGUCUUCAGGAAGAAGGGCUUAAUAGUGGAAUGUUAUGUGGGCAUUGCCACUGGACAGAAACAUUCUUCUCUUUGCAUAAAGUCACAUGAGUCUAAGAUAAUAAUCUGGCCUUGUUCCUCUACAGAAUGACCUCAUUGUUGGCUCAUGAAAGAAAUGAAAUAAUACUAAUAAUUCAUGCUCUUUUAAUUUCCUACCACAAAAUAAAAUUACAAAAGCAAAAUAAAAUAGAAUAAAUAAAAAUUUUAAAAGAUUACACACGAGAAGUACUUCAAAAUGGAUUAUUAACUCAGAACAUUCCACAAACUAUUAUAUACUUCUAAAAUAAAAGCAAAUUUUUAAAAAGUCUAUAUCACAGUUUAAAACAUAGAGAUCUACUUCUUUUAUCUAAUCAAAGAACUUAUAAUGACUAUCAGAACAGGGUCUUAAGAAAAUGGCAGCUUUUAUUCUCGUUCAAUGGAAUACAGGAGCCAUUCUGUGAGGAAGCCCAAACUGGGUUGUGGAGAGGUUUAUCUGGAGAAGAAUCAACAGACAACACUAAUUUGCCAGCCAUUUGAGGAGCAGUAUUGAAAGUGGAUCCUCCAUCUCUAGGUCUUCAGUUUCAGAGGAGCUGUGACUGAGGAACCACAUUUGCACCUGGACCUGAGUACUGUGUGUACAUUUACUGAGAAGACAGAGGAUUUCCAAGCAAUACAAGAAUUCUGUCACAUAAACGAUCUGAUGGGAAACAUAUCAAAGUUGCUGGAUUGCUGGUUCUGUAUGCGUGCUGGGAAACAAUCACACUCUAACUGUAGCUGCCUAGGUCUUCUGAUGCCAUGUUACAGAUGGCCUGUGACCUGGGAGCACCCAAAGCAACAUGCUGAGACUGAAUACAACUCCCUUUACUUCACAGUUCUCAUUUCCAGAGAUAUUUGCAAGGAAAGGGGACAUCUGCAAUGUUUGACAUAACAUCUUGUCAGCCAUGUGGCUGCUUCUGCAUUUCUAGAAAAAGCAAUAUGAAUGGAGGCUGGCCAGAAGUCAAGGGAAGACAAAGGAUCCAGCUGGCUUCAGCAGCUCCUGUAAUGCAGCACAAGUCACAGUGUGGAAAAUGCAGAGAAAUGGUAAAUUACUGUAGAAAGACAGACUGCCAGGCUACCUUGAUUGCCACUGCACUGGGAUUACAUACAAACUUUAUUGCACAGGUCAUAUCGAUAAUUUACUAAAUUGAAAUUUGAGCAACAAAAGAUUAAAAACCACUUAAAAAAUAGAAA
Long non-coding RNA from Homo sapiens (human), 2520 nucleotides. Ensembl annotates it as long intergenic non-protein coding RNA 2355. Lineage: Eukaryota; Metazoa; Chordata; Mammalia; Primates; Hominidae. The record is from Ensembl.